GAUGAACGCUGGCGGCGUGCCUAAUACAUGCAAGUCGAGCGAACAGACGAGGAGCUUGCUCCUCUGACGUUAGCGGCGGACGGGUGAGUAACACGUGGAUAACCUACCUAUAAGACUGGGAUAGCUUCGGGAAACCGGAGCUAAUACCGGAUAAUAUAUUGAACCGCAUGGUUCAAUAGUGAAAGACGGUUUUGCUGUCACUUAUAGAUGGAUCCGCGCCGCAUUAGCUAGUUGGUAAGGUAACGGCUUACCAAGGCGACGAUGCGUAGCCGACCUGAGAGGGUGAUCGGCCACACUGGAACUGAGACACGGUCCAGACUCCUACGGGAGGCAGCAGUAGGGAAUCUUCCGCAAUGGGCGAAAGCCUGACGGAGCAACCCCGCGUGAGUGAUGAAGGUCUUCGGAUCGUAAAACUCUGUUAUUAGGGAAGAACAAAUGUGUAAGUAACUAUGCACGUCUUGACGGUACCUAAUCAGAAAGCCACGGCUAACUACGUG
RNAcentral lists this ribosomal RNA (497 nucleotides) under uncultured bacterium. RNAcentral describes it as "partial 16S ribosomal RNA". It matches the Rfam family "Bacterial small subunit ribosomal RNA", at positions 28 to 507 of the family's 1533-position model. The record is from RNAcentral.